RNAcentral lists this ribosomal RNA (586 nucleotides) under uncultured Verrucomicrobiota bacterium. RNAcentral describes it as "bacterial SSU rRNA". It matches the Rfam family "Bacterial small subunit ribosomal RNA", at positions 340 to 918 of the family's 1533-position model. The record is from RNAcentral. Lineage: Bacteria; Pseudomonadati; Verrucomicrobiota.
UACGGGAGGCAGCAGUCGAGAAUUUUUCUCAAUGGGGGAAACCCUAAAGGAGCGACGCCGCGUGGAGGAUGAAGGUUUUCGGAUUGUAAACUCCUGUCAUUGGGGAACAAUUGCACGGGUUUAACUGACCUGUGUUUGAUAGUACCCGAAGAGGAAGAGACGGCUAACUCUGUGCCAGCAGCCGCGGUAAUACAGAGGUCUCGAGCGUUGUUCGGAUUCAUUGGGCGUAAAGGGUGCGUAGGCGGCGAGGUAAGUUGGAUGUGAAAUCCCGGGGCUCAACCCUGGAACUGCAUUCAAUACUGCCUUGCUAGAGUACUGGAGAGGAGAUUGGAAUUCACGGUGUAGCAGUGAAAUGCGUAGAUAUCGUGAGGAAGACCAGUGGCGAAGGCGAAUCUCUGGACAGUUACUGACGCUGAGGCACGAAGGCUAGGGGAGCAAACGGGAUUAGAUACCCCGGUAGUCCUAGCAGUAAACGGUGCACGUUUAGUAUGGGAGGAUUCGACCCCUUCCGUGCUGGAGCUAACGCGUUAAACGUGCCGCCUGGGGAGUACGGUCGCAAGAUUAAAACUCAAAGGAAUUGACGGGG